This 422-nucleotide ribosomal RNA is filed under the name uncultured Chlorobiota bacterium. Its description in RNAcentral is "bacterial SSU rRNA". It matches the Rfam family "Bacterial small subunit ribosomal RNA", at positions 355 to 776 of the family's 1533-position model. Lineage: Bacteria; Pseudomonadati; Chlorobiota. The record is from RNAcentral.
UGAGGAAUAUUGCGCAAUGGCCGAAAGGCUGACGCAGCGACGCCGCGUGAAGGAUGAAAUCCGUUAGGAUGUAAACUUCUUUUGCAGGAGAUGAAUAGUCCCGCUUGCCGGGAUCUGACCGUAUCCUGCGAAUAAGGGUCGGCUAACUACGUGCCAGCAGCCGCGGUAAUACGUAGGACCCGAGCGUUGUCCGGAUUUACUGGGUGUAAAGGGCGUGUAGGUGGAUCUCUAAGUCGGCCGUGAAAUCCUGCGGCUCAACCGCAGAAUUGCCGUCGAUACUGGAGAUCUUGAGUAUGGCAGAGGGAGAUAGAAUUCAUGGUGUAGCGGUGAAAUGUGUAGAUAUCAUGAAGAAUACCGGUUGCGAAGGCGGUCUCCUGGUCCAUUACUGACACUGAGGCGCGAAAGCGUGGGGAGCAAACAGG